GCCAGACUCCUACGGGAGGCAGCAGUGGGGGAUAUUGCACAAUGGGGGGAACCCUGAUGCGGCGACGCCGCGUGGGUGAAGAAGCGCCUCGGCGCGUAAAGCCCUGUCAGCAGGGAAGAAAAUGACGGUACCUGAGUAAGAAGCCCCGGCUAACUACGUGCCAGCAGCCGCGGUAAUACGUAGGGGGCAAGCGUUAUCCGGAUUUACUGGGUGUAAAGGGAGCGUAGACGGCAGUGCAAGUCUGGAGUGAAAGCCCGGGGCCCAACCCCGGGACUGCCCUUGGAACUGCAUGGCUGGAGUGCGGGAGGGGCAGGCGGAAUUCCUGGUGUAGCGGUGAAAUGCGUAGAUAUCAGGAGGAACACCGGCGGCGAAGGCGGCCUGCUGGACCGCGACUGACGUUGAGGCUCGAAAGCGUGGGGAGCGAACAGGAUUAGAUACCCCGGUAGG
This 447-nucleotide ribosomal RNA is filed under the name uncultured bacterium. RNAcentral's name for it is "bacterial SSU rRNA". It matches the Rfam family "Bacterial small subunit ribosomal RNA", at positions 330 to 794 of the family's 1533-position model. The record is from RNAcentral.